Non-coding RNA from Alligator sinensis (Chinese alligator), 192 nucleotides. The record is from Rfam. NCBI's taxonomy places the organism in Eukaryota, Metazoa, Chordata, Crocodylia, Alligatoridae.
AUACUUUUCUAAUAAAAACAAAAACAAAAACAAAAAAACCUGUUCUUAUCAGUUGCAAUAUCUGAUAUGUUCUCCAAUGGAGAGCUGUGUAGCGAGCUUAUUUUCGUUCUUUGGAGUUGGACUUGAAGCUUGCUUUUUCCUCUCUUUGCGUCAGCCUGGUAUUGUAGUGCUUCCGGGAGUGGUGCCUUUUCC